This 468-nucleotide ribosomal RNA is filed under the name uncultured bacterium. RNAcentral's name for it is "partial 16S ribosomal RNA". It matches the Rfam family "Bacterial small subunit ribosomal RNA", at positions 28 to 507 of the family's 1533-position model. The record is from RNAcentral.
GACGAACGCUGGCGGCGUGCUUAACACAUGCAAGUCGAACGGAAAGGCCCUGCUUUUGUGGGGUGCUCGAGUGGCGAACGGGUGAGUAACACGUGAGUAACCUGCCCUUUACUUUGGGAUAACUUCAGGAAACUGGGGCUAAUACCUGCUAGGAGCUCCUGCUGCAUGGUGGGGGUUGGACAGUUUCGGCGGUUGGGGAUGGACUCGCGGCUUAUCAGCUUGUUGGUGGGGUAGUGGCUUACCAAGGCUUUGACGGGUAGCCGGCCUGAGAGGGUGACCGGCCACAUGGGGACUGAGAUACGGCCCAGACUCCAACGGGAGGCAGCAGUGGGGAAUAUGGCACAGUGGGCGGAAGCCUGAGGCAGAAACGCCGCGUGCGGGAUGACGGCCUUCGGGUGGUAAACCGCUUUCGCCUGUGACGAAGCGUGAGUGACGGUAAUGGGUAAAGAAGCACCGGCUAACUACGUG